CUCUACGGCCAUACCACCCUGAAUGCACCCCAUCUCAUCUGAUCUCAAAAACUAAGCAGAGUUGGGCCUGGUUACUACUUGGAUAGGAGACCACCUGGGAAUACCAGGUUCUGUAGAGG
Ribosomal RNA from Vulpes vulpes (red fox), 119 nucleotides. The record is from Ensembl. NCBI's taxonomy places the organism in Eukaryota, Metazoa, Chordata, Mammalia, Carnivora, Canidae.